CUUCAGGCACUCGCUGCAUGCAUGAUUCAACCCGCAAUUGCAUAACUCCGCCUCUUUCGGUGCAUGACCGCAUGAAGUCUCUCCUCUCGAGCUGAGGCAGUUCAUGCAGCUUAUGCAUUCAACAUAUUUUAUCGCGAAACUGAAAUCAUGGGUGGUUCGGCUGGGGCAAACACGAUACUCAAAAUCACGUAAGAGUUAAAGAUACGAAUUCACUGCGAAUCCAUUCCGUUACUAAAACUGUACGUAUUGGAGAAACGGAAUAUACCCAGUAUUCCAUGCCAUGCACUCACUCGCUUCAUGCAAGAAAUGGAAUGCAUCCUGUAACAGCAGCUUACGCAUGCGCACAAACAUUUCCAUGGAAAUAAUUCCCACGACAGCUGGAGUCAGAUCGAAUAAGUCUAAGCUUAGUCAUAAUAGAGAUUUAAGUAUUGAAAGAGAACUAAUUGUUAAUUCUUUGAGCAUGGGUAGCUUCGAUCUGACUCGAUAUAAAGCACAUUCAUAGCAGUAUAAUAAAGGACACUAUGAGCAUAAAUUGAAAUAUCAAUAUAACAUAAUCAAACAUGCACAGUAAACGGACAAAAGUAUAACCAAGGAAUUAUUACUAAUAAUGAUGAUGUCGAUAUAGUUAAGUUAAUAAUGCGCUCAAUCAUUCAAUCAUUGUAAGU
Atta colombica is the source of this 665-nucleotide long non-coding RNA. RefSeq lists it as uncharacterized. Lineage: Eukaryota; Metazoa; Arthropoda; Insecta; Hymenoptera; Formicidae. The transcript is spliced from 3 exons. The record is from RefSeq and is a predicted model, not a curated record.